This is a long non-coding RNA of Bos taurus (domestic cattle), 679 nucleotides long. Lineage: Eukaryota; Metazoa; Chordata; Mammalia; Artiodactyla; Bovidae. The record is from Ensembl.
GGCAGACUGGUCACUUCUCCCCUCCACGUACAUUUUACUGGUGGUGUUGUUUUAAAGAAAAUUUAUUCUGUCUUAUACAGUGAUGUCCCCAGGGCAUGGUUUGGGAAACUUGGCUGCGGUCAGUAGGAAGCCCAGGAGAGAAAGCAGAGACAUGGGAAGAGCUCAGACUCAGGAGUCACCAGACCUGGGCUCAAGUCCCAGCUUCACUGUUUCCCAGACUGUAGCCCGCCAGUCUCCUCUGUCCAUGGGAUUCUCCAGGCAAGAAUACUGGAAUGUGUAGCCAUUCCCUUCUCCAGUGGAUCUUCCUAACCCAGGAAACGAACCCAGGUCUCCCACACUGUGGGCAGAUUCUUAACCAUCUGAGCUUCUUGCUGCUGCUGCUGCUAAGUCAUUUCAGUCGUGUCCGACUCUGUGCGACCCCAUGGACUGCAGCUUACCAGGCUCCUCCAUCCAUGGGAUAUUCCAGGGGAAGAAACGGAAGCUUAGCAAGGUGAAGGGGCAGAUGCGGGAGGAAAUCCCCCUCCGGAGUCCUGCUCUUAUCCAUGAGGACAUAUGUGUCCCUUCUGGAUGUUCUUGAAGCAAUGCCACAGUCAGGAGGAAGUUUUCCAGACUCCGCAGGAAGAAGACAGAGACCGGCAAUUCCGAAAGGAAGAGCAUCUGAAGAGUCCCAGGUCCCCAC